This 499-nucleotide ribosomal RNA is filed under the name uncultured bacterium. Its description in RNAcentral is "bacterial SSU rRNA". It matches the Rfam family "Bacterial small subunit ribosomal RNA", at positions 30 to 523 of the family's 1533-position model. The record is from RNAcentral.
AUUGAACGCUGGCGGCAGGCCUAACACAUGCAAGUCGAGCGGUUGAGGUAGCUUGCUACCGAUGCAGCGGCGAACGGGUGAGUAAUACAUGGGAAUCUGCCUGGUAGUGGGGGGACAACGUCUCGAAAGGGACGCUAAUACCGCAUACGCCCUACGGGGAAAGGGGGGAGUCUUCGGACCUCUCGCUAUCAGAUGAGCCCAUGUCAGAUUAGCUAGUUGGUGGGGUAAAGGCUCACCAAGGCGACGAUCUGUAACUGGUCUGAGAGGAUGAUCAGUCACACUGGAACUGAGACACGGUCCAGACUCCUACGGGAGGCAGCAGUGGGGAAUAUUGGACAAUGGGGGCAACCCUGAUCCAGCAAUGCCGCGUGAGUGAAGAAGGCCCUCGGGUUGUAAAGCUCUUUUGUCAGGGAAGAAAAGGUUGUGGGCUAAUAUCCACGGCUGAUGACGGUACCUGAAGAAUAAGCACCGGCUAACUACGUGCCAGCAGCCGCGGUAA